UCUGCUUUCUCACGCUUCGUUUGGGAUUAUAGGAAGCUUGCGUUAUUUGCAGCGAAAAAAUACGAUAAAAAAAUAUUAUAUUUAUUUUCGUACGUAAUAUUGCGUUUCGCAUACUGUAAUUAGGCUUCGUUUGGAAUAGUCGGGAGAUUGCUUUACGUGCGGUGAAAAAGUAUGCAGUGAGAAAGUACAAUAAAAAAAUAUCAUAUUUAUUUCCGUACAUAAUAUUGCGUUCCGCAUAUUACAAUUAGACUUCGUUAGGGAUUGCGGGGAGAUUGCUUUACGUGCGGUGAGAAAGUAUGUUAAUUUGAAAAAUAUUCUAUUUGUUUUCGUACAUAAUAUUGCGUUCCGCAUAUCGCGAUGAGUCGGUUACGAUAUAUUUUCUGCGGUCCACCGGAGAAUGCAGAAGCAUACCCUUAUAUGUUUUUUCCUCAACUCCAUUUUAUCUAAUAGUGUUAGAUAGACAUCAAUCCCAAACUAAGCCUUAGUCGGUUACGAUAUAUUUUCUGCAAUUUCAUUGGAGAACGCAGAAGUAUAUCUCUAUAUAUUUUUACCCAACUCCAUUUUAUCUAAUAGUGUUAGAUAGGUCUCAAUAUCAAACUAAGCUUCACAAGAAAAAAAAAUUGUACAUAAUUUUAUAGAUUUACCUAAUUUUUUUUAAUUUGCAAUGAUAAUAACGUACAUAAUUUACUAUCAAAUCUUUUAAUUUAUUUGAUCUGAAUUAAUCAACGAUAUUUAUUUUUAAAUUUUGAAUGUGUCAUUUAUAUUAACAGAUUUAAUUAGUAUAUUUCGUAUAAUUCUUACGGCUAUAAAUUUAUUAAAAUAAAUAAUUUAACUUAAAAGUCAAAAUAUUGUUGACCGACUCAAAUUAAAUAAAUUGAAAAGUUGAUUAAUAAAAUUAAAAUUUUAAAAUGUUGGGUAGCCAAAUCAGGAUAUAUAGUCAAUAAUUCAAAUAAAUUUUGUACGAUUUUACCGGUUUUAAUAGCUUGAUUUAUAUUUAACUUCAUAAUUUACGAAAGUUCACCAAUAAAAUAUAACUACUAAGCAAAUUCCUUCAAAUUUUGUAAAAUUAUGUUUUAAUUCAUAUACAGGUAAUUUGAUUGAUUUAUGUAAUGCAAUUCAAAAUUAUGUCUAAAAUAGUGUUGAUCACUUGAUAACUUAUGUGACUAAUAGUGAUUGUUUAUACCUUCAAAUUUUAAACACAAGACGCAUAAUAAUAUGAAUAUAAAAUCUCAAUAAACACAAUACUGAUGUAUCAAUAUAUAUGUAACAAUAGUUCGAAUCCUAGUUGAUUCACAUUUCCAACUAAGUUUAUUUCUAAAUGAAAUAAACGAAGCGGGUAGCCUGCUACCUAUCUCUCAAUAUAUAUAUAUAUAACAAUCUAGAGUACCUUCUUAGUUAGAAUAUGCAGCAUUAUUAACACCUCCUAUCUGGAGCAAGUUUCUAUCAAUCUUAAAUGUCGAAAUCAUUUUUUAAAAUGCAAAAAUAUAUGUAGCAUUAUUGCUACGUAGGUUAGAAUUUUUCUCAAAUUAACUUGUCUUUCUAUAGAAUUAAUCCACUAUGCAGCAUUAUUGCUACGCACGUUAGAAUUUCUUACGUGCAGCUUAUUACAUAAGAAGAUGCCCCUUAAGGAAGGGGUCACAUUUAGACCGUACUCUCAAUGGUGGCAAAGCGUUCUGUCAACCCGUGACAUAUGCCGGUGAGGAGUAUCCUAUGCGAUUGGGGACGGUAGUACCGUGAGCUUUUGGAAGGACCAUUGGUGUGCCCCUCUCUCACUACAAUCAAUGUUCCCCCAUAUCUUCAACGCUAUAGUUAGGAAGAAUCUCCGAGUGCAGAAAGUGCAGGCGCUCACGGGUGGAGGUGGCACAGAAUUUUGCGUGGGUUUAUGCCGAGCUCCACCGCAAAUGAUGACGCAGUCUAGGAGUUGAAAGGGAUGAUAUGCACUGUUACAUUAGCGAAUAACGGAGAUGAAGUAAGAUGGAGAUGGAGUCACGUUGAAGCAUUCACGGUCAAAUCAUUGUAUACCUUCCUACAGGACAGCGGGGUAACGGAGACGAAAUUGGUACCGAUUUGGAAAAUCAAAAUACCACUUAAAGUUAAAUUUUUUUGCUGGCUUGUGGUGAGGCGGAAGGUUCUAAUGAAGGAUAAUCUCCUGAAAAGGGGAUGGUUAGGGGCGGACACGUGUGACCUAUGCUUGGACGAAUCUGAGAAUGUUAAUCAUCUUCUCUUGUAGUGCAACGUCUCACGUGCGCUACUGAGCUACUUACUGCCGAACAAACGGGGCCUAGCUAGGGGCCUGUUGGUCUGUAGACGACCUGUGGAAGGAUUGCAGUAGUAAGCAGGGAGCUCUAGCAAGGAAGGAGUUAGCAACCUUAGCCGCUACUUGGCGGGCUAUUUGGUUGGAACGGAAUAGGCGAAUUUUUGAGAACAAAAAGAUGUCGAGGAGACGGGUGUUUGCUGAAGUUCGAUCUCAGUACAACUUGUGGGACUCCUAUUGCAAUUAUUUAGUUUUUUAUUUUUAUUUUUUUUUCGUCUCGCUUAGGAAGCCUUCUUGCUUCCCAUCUUUGUUAAAUUCAACUACUUUAUGAAUAAAGCGGUAGCAUGCUAUUUUUUUUCUCAAAAAAAUCCACCGCCUAAUCCCAUGGGAUUGACCAAGUGUACAUGGAGGUGGGCACGUCAAGUCAACGCAAUAAUGGCAUUAUAUAAACACGUGUAGUGCUGAUUAUAAUAUUAAGUCAAUGUAUUAGGUGGGAAACUGGGAAUAGGAGUCGAAGAAGAGAUAAUACAGGUGGAUUGUUAACUUCAAAUGCAUGAUCGAGACUCGAAAUUAAUGACGCGUGAUUUUCUAAACAAACAUCCUCACCUUGGCAACAGUUUUAUGUAUGUACCUCAAAAGAUUGAUGUUUCACGACCUCAUGAAAUGAGAAGAGAUUAGAACUGACUCUGAUGAGAUACGAAGCAAUCACUAUAGUGAAACUUAUGAUGAGAUGCGAAGCAAUCACUAUAGUGAAACUUAAGGCUAGCGUUUUAAUUAUCUUAUAUUCGACCCAAAAGCAAGAGGAUAGUUGUAAUUGUUUGGGUAAAGGUAGAUUUGGAUUUACUUCUAGUUCAAAAUAUCGAAUUGUCACGGUCUCGUCUUAUCUUUGCUAGAAAAAGUGUUCUUAGACAUUUCUUGCAGAUACGAGCAGCAGAAUUUGGAUUGUUAUAUGUUUGUGCUUUCAACAAAAAUAAACGAUCAACAAAACAGUUUCUCCGGGCAGUGUCAGGCUCUAACAUACGAAGCAAAGUCGCAUGUCUUUGCCCGGCCCGACCCGGUCCGGUCCGGCCCGGCCCGUAUCUUUUUCUGUAGUGCAUAAUAAUGCACAUGCACCAACAACAGUGGAUCCUCGCACCAACUGCCGACAUCUAAAAUUCAUUAAUCUCCCUUCCAUCACAGCCGUCAAAGCCAAGAUCGACGGCCAGCAUCUCUCCUCAUUAGCGUGACUUGAACAGUCUCUAAGUCAACGUCCGUACUAUGUAUUAGAUUCGCAACAGUCAGACUCAUGACUCAGCUCUCAUUUCCUCUCCUCCCGGGAGUCAAAAAGUCAACAACAUCCAUGUUGUUGUUAUCAGCGUCCAAAGAACUUCUGUAAAACGCACUUUAUUAUGUUCCCACUCUUUUUAUUCGAGACACUAAUUAUUUCCUGCACCCGGUGUAAUCCAUAUAUCUAAGUAUCGAUCAGAUGCAACUUCAUAAUUAAAUAUUCGACGCUCAAUGUUUUUAAAAGAUAAGUUUAAUAAACAUAUAUAAUUUACAAGAUCUACGUGUUCCAUAAGCAAAGAAAUCACAAUUAGUUUUCAAAAUCAAAUAUCUGAGCAUCAAACAGCAAUAAAAUUAACACUACAAUAAAAACGGUCUACAGCGACACUUUUAAACGUCGGUAUAGGUCAAAAAAUAGUGCUGCUGACUAAAUUAUUGACACUUUUAAAAAAUGUUGAUAUAUGUGGAGUCGCUAAGUAUAUAGUGACAGUUAAAGAGCGUCGCUAUAACCAAAAAGAGUGCUGCUAAUUUACCAAUACUUAUUUAAGCAUUUAGCAACCGCCGGAACUCUACCUCGUUGGCUGUGGUGGUGGAGAAGUACGAGAGGAACGGAUCUUUGUCUAAAAUUUCAGUGGAUUGAGUGAGGGGAGAAAGAAAAAUGGUAAUCAAUUUUUCUUUUUUUUUUUCUUUUCUGUUUGUAAUCGGACCGAAUGGGCUGGGUGGGGUGGGUUGAGUAGAGUAACUUUUUAUUUUUGAUUGGAUUGGGCUUUAUAUUUAGGUAUUAGUAGAUUUUUUUUAAGUUAUUGCAUAAAUUGAACACUUAUACAAAAAUGUCCCAAACAUGUGUUCCUAUAACCUAAUUCUGUUAUAAUGUAACAACACAGAAAGAGACACGAUUCAAGUGCUGCAGUGCAUGGAGCACCAGGUGCAUGCAAUAAUUUCUAAAUUUAUUCCUUUCCCUGUUCAUACCAUAUAUCUUGUCCGAGUUCUUUAUAUAGUAUGGCGAUACAAAUAAAGGGCUAAAACAAUAUAUGCUCAAUUCAAUCCUAUCUAUAUAUAUAUAUAUAUAUAUAUAUAUAUAUAUAUAUAUAUAUAUAUAUAUAUAUAUAUAUAUAUAUAUAUAUAUCAUCAAGCUCGUAUGUGUUUAAAUGGGUCAUCGAGGAGUUAAAAGAAUCCAAAGAACAUUAACAGCCAUGGAGAGCUCUCAUGGAACAUCGACGAAGCUGGAGAGGAAAACAGUGGAGAAAAAAAGGAGGGAACAAAUGAAAGCGCUUUACGCGAAGCUCGACUCUCUACUUCCGAGCUCAACUAGUUCAAGGGUAUGUAUAUAUAUAUAUAUAUAUAAAGAAUUAUAUAUGUUUCGAUGUAAUAAGGUGUAAAAUAUUCUAGAGUAAUUCACAUAACGGAUAUGUAGAUCGCUCGUAGAAAAAUGUUUAUUUAUAUUUUUCCACAAAAUCCAAAAUUUUUGUAUGCACCCUUGAGAAGCUACCAAAUUAAGUACGUGUCUCAAAUAUAUUUUUUUAUUAAAGCCCAAAUUAUCAUGGAUUGGAUGGCUCUUGCGAUCGACCUAGCUACGUAACAUUAUAUUCGAAGAGUAAUAUAAAAAAUUGGGGCUUUGCUUAUUUUUAGAGGUAAACAUAUGUAUUUUCAAUGAAUACUAUAUAAAAACAAUUUGGCACCCUAUAUAUCGUUUUUAAGACUACGUACCUUUAGAAAUAUUUCGGUUUUAUUGCUUUUUUUUCUCAAAUGAAUGUUAGAGUAGUCGAUUUGACAUUUGAUACAACUAAUAAGGCAUCUAAAUUACUUGUUCGAAGUUCUCGAAAGAUAUGUAUGUGUGGUAAUCCGUACUUUGUUUCGGUCCACAGGAAGGGGCAACACUGCCGCGACCUGAUCGACUAAGCGAGGCGGCGAAUUAUAUAAAGGGGAUGCAGGAGAAGCUCGAGAGGAUGAAGGAAAGGAAGAGGCAACUGAUGACUCGCAAUGAGGCGGCGGAUAAUUCGAAGCUUCCGAAGAUAGAGGUGCAGAAUCGAGGUUCAAAUCUAUAUAUGAUACAAAUCGUUAGCAGCCCCGAUGACCGCGCCAUGUUCUAUGAGGCGGUUCGAGCUGUGGAGGAAGAAGGUGGCGAGGUUUUGAAUGCCCAGUUCUCGACUACGGACCGAAAAGCCUUCCACACCAUCUAUGCCUUGGUGGGGUGAAUCAUAUAUAUGAUAGCUAGGUUUUACCAUUAAUGUUGUACUAAUCUUUUCGCAGUUACUAGCUAACAGUUCUUAUACUUACAAGGGCAAUGCUAAUCGAAUAUUCGAUCGCCUUGUGGUAUACUAUUUAGAUAGUUAAAGUGGGCACAUAACAAUCAUAUGAUGAUAUACAAGAAAUGCUCAAACGAAGUAGGUUAAUUUGCUCAGUUCAUUGAUUCUUCUUGUUUGUAGUGUUUUAACAAGUCCCAAAACUAUAUUUACCAAUAACUUCAAUGGUUAAUAUGAUUUGAAAAUUAGGAUAGCAAAAUGUUGUAAUUCGUCGUACAGGAUAGUUAGUUAAUAUAUACAUACCAUGCAUAUAUAUAUAUAUAAUUCAUUUGAUUUUGCUUAACUUUGGAAUUGUGUUCUUGUAGGUUGGAGAUUUUAAAUAUCGGUUUGAAACUGGAAAACUAAAGGAGAGAUUGAAGGAUCUAGGUUGGCAAGGGAGGCGUGUGUAAAAAGGAUUCUUGUUUGUUUCGGAGCCGCGAAAUGAACAGUGUGGGAAAUUUAGAAAAUUCCGAGGACUCGAGUGCAAUAGUCAAUAGUCUCCUUUUCCUACUCUCCAAUGCUUUCUCUUUAGAACCUUUCUUACCUUUUUAUGAUGGUAGAAACAAUUAGUUGCAUUUAGAAGGGCCCUAAUGGACCCCACAAUCCACUUCCUUGUGCCCAUUAAUAUUCUUGUUUAAACAUGUAAGUGCUAUAUAUUGGGACAAAAAUUAUAUGGGCAUCAUUUCGAAAUUAGAAGUUUUGGGGUCGAUGUGGAUGGGCACCGUGUGGCGUACGCCCAUGCUCGCCCUCCCCUACGAAGAAAAAAAAAGAAAAAAAAAAACAUGGGUGUUAAUUUUGAGAGAGAGAGAGAGAGAGAGAAAAGCUGAUGGAGAGGAACGGAGGGUGAGGAUGGGCGUGCGCCGGCCAUGCAGUGCCCAUUUGCAACGUCCCCAAACUUCUAGUUCGGGACGAUGCCUAUAUAAUUUUUGUCCAAUAUAUUGCUGCUUAUUUUAGCAAUUUAAAAUGCAUCAUUAUGUUUGUACUUGAGUCCAGUUAUUUAAAUGUUCUUUUUUUAUUUUUGGACUGUAAGACAUGGUGAUUUUCUGUAUAAUUCAUUAGUACCGCUCAAAUUUUUAUCGUCUUAGAUAUUUUACGAAACGUGGGCACAAAUUAAAUGGGCCAAGUAUACCACAACUAGCUCAAUUAGAGCCGAAAUGAGCCAAUGCGGUCCAGCCCGAAAAUCAGUUCCAAAUUGUAGCCCUAAUUACCUGACCCUAUGUGCGUUAGAAAUAUAGCAUUCGUGUCUAAUGUUACCGAGCCCGUGGACCACCUUUUUUGCACUCAUGUACUUAAUUUGGUUCUUAAUUUUAUUUUAUGAUUUAGAAUAAAAUUAUAGUAUUAAUUAAUGAUAUUUCCUAUUUUAAUUGUAUCUAACUUGUUAAUUGGUUUUGCAAAGCCACUAUAACUACUCGACUUGACCCGUCAGCAAUAAUGAUUUGUUGGGCGAAAACCAUUGGCCAAAAAUAUUUAAGCGGAGCGAUGUGAAACUUGCCUCUUUAGCCUUGUUAUUCUAACCUGGCUCAACAAAGACUCAUUUCACACUUUCGGCUGGUGAACCGGUUCUAAUAGCAAAUGUAACGACCCAAUCGACCAACAAUAAUAAUUUGUUUGGCUAAAACCACUGACCUAAAAUAUUUAAACCCAGUUAUUAUUAUUACAGUGGAGUUUUCUUUUAUAUCCAAUGACAAUUUCAUUUCCAUCCGAUGUGGAAUUAUUGGAGGUAUUACAGCCACGACGCUGGGGCAUCCGAAGUUGCGAACUCAAGCAAAAAACGAAGCUGAUCAACACUUCCUCUCGCAAGCCAUACAAAGCCCUAUCACUUGAGACCAUGUAUACAUGCAUGUUUAUGUUGAAGAAGUGCUUCUCGCAUUACUUGUAUCUUCGAAUUAAAAGAAAAAAUAUAUAUAUUCAUGUUAAGUACCGUAAUCUUCAAAUUUCAGAUAUAAUGCAUUUAAGCAUCAAAUCUAAGAUGCUAAGACAAUUAAUGGCUCAUUAACAUCCAUUGAAUGUUUAUUUCUCAGAUAUAAUUUGGAAGAUUUUCAUGGUGCGCACGAGUGGAAUUAUUCUUUUUCUACUUUUUUUUUAUAUAAAAAAAAAAAGAAGCUUGAAAUUCACAGCCUCUAACAAGAGAGUGGAUGAUACCAAUGACCACUAUACUAAGGACUAAGAUGUUCCAUACAACAUUAUUUAAUCUAUUCAAAAGAACACAGAAUAAUCAAAUUAUUAUUGUACAACAGUAAAGCUUUAUCAAUGAUAAUAGCUAUCACCAGUCCAAGAACAUGGUAUACAGGAGUCACUAAGGUCCAUGACAAACCCAAAAUAUCUAAUAGUGGGAUCUUGGUAUUGCGUGUACUUCUAAAUACCAAAGAUGGUUGUGAGAGAUUGAGAGUUGAUCAUUAUAUAAUUCUGUAGCAAAUUCUAAAUCAGAUUUUUAUAAUUUAUUUUGGUUGUUAAUUUGAGGAGAACUUUCUUUGUUUUGGUGGGAAACAAGGAUCAGAUGCCAAAUUAUAUAUUAAUUGAAAAUUGAUGUUGGACACUGACCUUCUUAUUCUCUCUUUGAUAGAGCACUCAAUUUAAAACAUUAAAAAGAGCAAUCAUUUGUGGUCCAUUUGUUGCUUUGAAAAGUUCCUUGUUCCAUCAUCUUAUUUCACCCAGUGGACCACUGGGGUGUUGAGGCUCUUAAUCUUUUCUGAUAGAAACUUUUUUCCUCUCACUCUCUGUAACCAAAAAAAAAAAAAAAGUCAAAUAAGUUUUAAUUUUGCCAAAAAAAAGGAAAACUUACAUAAACAAUCCUUUCCUUUUUGUUUUUAAGAAUAGGCAAAUCACCUUUUAAUUGGGAUUAGGGGAUGGUAUAAACAUUUCUUUUAUCUCGAUAAACAUUUCUUUAAAUGAUGUAGGCUUAAUUUGUUUGCUGUAGAGGUUAAUUAAUUCAACAAGAAAUUAACUGCAAAUGCUGGAGCUAGCCCUAUAAGUUGGUGGGUAAUAACUAAUAAACAGGGGUGAGUCUAUGUCCUAAUGAGGUGUCCUGGGAAUGCAACAUUUGAUGCUCUCAUUUGACUAGGUACACCCACAUGCAGUCAUUUUCCUACAUGUCAACAUCAUAGAUCUACGGUUCCAGAUCAUGCUACGUGCCAAUGCCAUGCCAUGUAAAAGGUUCCCCCCUCUCUCUCUCUCUCUCUCUCUCUCUCUCUCUCUCUCUCCCUUGGGAAAGAAUUGCAAUUUGGUCUUUUAUUAAUUUAUCUAGUAUAUGAAAUUACCUAAUAUUUUACAAGAUCUUAUGAUAUUUUGGAUUCAACUUACAGUGCUAUGAAAGCAACCUUUAUGAUAAAAAACAAAAAUGUUAUUUGAACAAUACUAUUAUAAUAAAAUUUAGAAAAAACUUCAAAUACCCCCCUAUAGUUUCACACUUUCUCACUUUGGUACCAUAUGAUUUAAAUUGUAUCAAGUUAGUACUCCAUGGUUUCACACUUUCUCACUUUAGUACUAUAUGUUUAAUAUUUUGUUAAAUUAUAUACCCCGAAAUAGAUAAUAAUAAAAAAAAAAUUAAAACCAUAGGGUACUAACUUGAUAUAAAAAUAAAACCCCAGGAUACUAACUUAAUACACUUGAAACCACAAAGUACUAAAGUGAGAAAGUGCGAAACCACAGGGUACUAACUUGAUGCACUUUAAACCACAGGGUACUAAAGUGAAAAAAUACAAAACCAUAGGAGGAGUAUUUGAAGUUUCCCGUAAAAUUUAUACUAACUUAUUAGUUUUAAUAUAUAUACAUAUAUAUUUUUUAGGGCAGAUAAAUUAGAAAUCAUGACGAUUUCGUACUUAUGUAAUUAAGGUUUGCCAAUGCAAUGCCAUGUUUCUUUCUUAAAUAAAAAACGACAGGUAAAAAAAGUCCUAUUGUUGCUUAAAUAAGAAGCUGAAAUAGGUCACGAGAGAAAGAGGGUGGAACGCAUGUAUAAUGGGAGCGAAUUAAGAUAAAAAGAGAUUUAUAUUGUUUCACCCAUAUUAUUUAAUUUAUUAUUUUAAUGAAUAAAAUAAAUAGCCUGCUAUAUUUUUUUCAAAAAAAAAAAAAAGAUAAAAAGAGGUUCGGUGCUCAAGAAAUUUAUUAUAUAAUAAUGUAUGUUAAAGUGGUGCUAGCUCUUCCGAAAUUAAAUCUAUAUGUAUUUUUUCUAUUCGCACUACAACUCUACAAGCAUAUAUUACUGCUAAAAAGUUGACUGUGACAGCAGUGUGACAUGAAUAAUGUUGCCACCUUUAAUUACUUUUCACAGUUUCGCAGCAGCAUUAAUUAUUUAAUUUUCGAACCCCCGAUUUUAUUUCCUAUCAGCUGGCAGCACCUUAUUAAUUUUGAGCAGCUGUUCUUCUUCCUCGCAGUCGCAGAUUAUAUAACUGGCUGCUCCUGUGCCUUUGCUCUACCUUUCUGCAGCUGCUCAUGUGCUUCUCGGAUACGCAAAUGGGGGCCCUACCCAAAUGACCACUGUGUGCCUACUUGGCCCACAUUAUUGUGUUUGUGUGUAUGUUCAGAGAGAGACACGGAGACUCAGAUCAAGGGAUCAAUUCAUAGAGUCGAUGAGAGUAGAAGUUAUGCCGAAAAAUUAUUUCGUUUAUUAGAUAAUAGUUGGUAUCUGUUGGAUCUGUCAUCUCGUAACCUAUAAAAGCCUUUCGAUGAUUUAGUCGCAUCUACUUCCUAGAGCAUGUAUAGAAUCAUCUAAUAAAAUUGGCACGCUUGGAUGUCUCUUCAGUUUGACUUUUAAAAUAGCUUCACAUUCAUAUAGGAAUUAGACAUUUAUCUCUUGACCUCCUGCGCUUUAGAUAAAAAAUUCUAUGAAAUAUCAGCCUGUCUUCAAAGAAAAAUUAAAAUUUAUAUGUAGAACGUGCGGCCUCUCCUCGAGAGAAAAACUGAAAUGAGCUUCUAGUGGCUGUCAACAAAAACUUCAAUCACCGACUGUUCUUAGAGCAAGUAGCAAAGGGCUUGGUGGUUGGUAUUCGAGACCCACGUUCGAAUCCUAAUUGAUUCACAUUUCCAGCUAAGUUUAUUUCUAAAUGAAAUAAACGAAGCGGGUAGCAUGUUACCUAUCUCUCAACAAAAAAAAAACAAAAACAAAAACAAAAACUUCAAUCGAAGAUGAAUAGCGAAUGAUGGGUUUAUGGUUAGUAAUUCAAGUUGAACAGUAUCUUAUUCGAAACCACAAUCAAGCCAAGCUAGUCCAAAGAGUGGAAUGUGUGUGUUAUUUCUGUAUUCUUUUGGAUGACUAUUUUUAAUUAUAAUUAAUUAUAUAUCCCCCUAACUUUUUUCCACAAGGAAGUGGGGUUUCACCAUCUCUGAUUCUCCAUCAGACACAUCAUCUAUUAUUCCACUUCCACCAUCUCCAGUUGCCCAACAGUGAAGUACAACCAUCCUCUCUCUUUAUUUACUUCUCUUUUAUUUAUUUAUUGAUUUAUUCCUUCUCUAUUAUAGCAAUCAGAGAAGGCACUUUCCAUAGAAUGACUCAAUUCUAUAGCAACUUAGUUUAAUGCAACUUAGCCUAGUUUUUAUAAUAUAUAUAUAUAUAUAUAUAUAUAUAUAUAUAUAUAUAUAGAGAGAGAGAGAGAGAGAGAGAGAGAGAGAGAGAGAGAGAGAGCAGGACUACUGUGCUAUUAGUAGCACAUCAGUCUUUAUAUUUCUAACUUCCNAUAUAUAUAUAUAUAUAUAUAUAUAUAUAUAGAGAGAGAGAGAGAGAGAGCUAAGCUGGUAUACUAUCGGUAGCACGAAAACCUUCGUACUACCAAGUUGUUUUCGAUGAUGCGGCUUCCAAAUCGACGAUCGGCUUCAUUAGAUUCGAUCUAAACUAUUAAAAGUAUUUGAAAACUAAAUUUCAUAAUUUUUCGAUAUUAUUUGACUAGUGAUUAAAAUAUCUAAAAAUUAAUAAUUUUAAUGAUAGAUGUGAUGUGUUUGUGAAUUUUAUAGUGUAAAAUAAUUUAAAUCUGAUGAAAAUUUUAUAGAAAAUUCUUUUCACUAUUUAGAGUAAAAUCAGUAUCUCUGAUAUUAAAUUCAAGUUUUUUAUCAUCAUUUUUUAUGAGAUUUUUAUUUUAAGCCGUUUAUUUUUAGACUACUCGUUUGAGGUAAAUGAUGUCGAAAAAUUAUGAAAUUUAGUUUUCAAAUAUUUUUAAUAGCAUAGAUAAGUCUAAUGAAAUCGAUCAUCGAUUUGGAAACCGCAUUAUUAAAAAUAACUUGGUAACACGAAGGCUUCCGUGCUACCGAUAGUAUACCAGCCUAGCUCUAUAUAUAUAUAUAUAUAUAUAUAGAGAGAGAGAGAGAGAGAGAGAGUGUGUAAAACUACUAUGCUUUUCAAAACAUAAGGUAAUGCGUGUUUUUGAUUUUUGUCUCUUAAACCAAGAAUUAUAUAAUUAGGAUAAUAAUAAUCCCCCUAAGGAUCUAGUGAUCUCCUUGGAGUUGAGUGGUCCAACAGAAUAAUAAUAGUAAGACUUACAAAUUUACUGCUUAGAAAGGAUAAUUAACGACGAGAAUAUUUCUUCGUACAGCUUCACUCGAACCGCACUUAAAUUCCUGAUUGGACGUAAUAGACCGCAUGCAGCAUCAAUUUCUUCCCACAUUAUUAGCAAAGUAUAUAUAUAAAUCAAACUCAUGGAUGUAAGAUAGAUCUUCCAAUUGUCCGUAUUCUACCAUUAACAGCAGUAACACUAGCCAGAGUUUAAUCAAAACAAAUAUAUAAAGGAAAAUAAAUUUGAAAGAGAACAAUACUCAGAUCAUUUAUCUCCUCCAAAUUUAUUUGCACCAGAGAGAGAGAAAGAGAAUAAUAAUAAUAACAGUAAUAACACGAAGAAGAAAAGAUCAAAUUUUACAACUCAAGAGGAGAUCUCCCCCCGAUCCCAUUUCUCUCCCAAUUAACUAAAAAAAUAAGGAAAAAGCUGAUCAGAGAGUACAAAGAUCAAACAGUGAGUAGGCACACAUCCAAGCGGUCAAUUAAGCAGGGGCAGAAGCGGAAGCGGAGGAGGAGGCGGGGGCGAGGCGCGGCGACGUCACGGGGAAAAGCGGGAGCAGCCGCGGCGGGAGACCGGCGCGCGGCGAGGGGUGGAGGUAGAAGCCCUUCUCGGCGAUCGCCCGCUCCUCGGCCGCCUCGGCCGCCUCCGUCCCCGGCGGCGGUGGAGUGGGGCGGGCGAAGGGGUCGGGGAGCAGCGGCGUGACGGGGCUGAGGACGAGCGAGGGCAGGUCCAGCACGCUCGGCGAGAGGACCUCCGCCGCGCCGCGCGGCGAGAACGAGGGCGAGGAGGAGGAGCAGGGGUUGGAGAACACGAAGGCGGGCAUGAGGGGGCUGAGGACCUUCAGGCUCUUGAGCGUGCUGCUGCGGCGCUCGUACAGCUUAAAGGCCGGCCUUUUGGGGCCUGGGGCGCCCUUCGCCGCCGCGGCGGCGGGAGGGUGCUUCGGGGAUGCGGCGGCGGCGGCGGCGGCGGCGGCGGUGUCGGAGGAGCCGGUGAGCAUCUGGACGACCUGCUUGAAGGACGCGGUGUCGGCNAGGGCUCGGCUUGGACGAAGGUGGUGGGGUAGGGGACGGCGUCGGCGCCGGGUCUCGCCGUCGGAGGCGGAGACGACGCCGCCGCGCCGGAGUUGGGGGUUUGUGGAGGUGGGUUCUCCUUGUGAUCUUGGGGUUUUGGGUAGUUUUCCAUGGUUUUGGGUGUCUUAAUGGAGGAGGAGGAGGAGGAGAUUUUGAGGAUGGGGGAGGGAGUGAGAGAGUGUGGAGAGUGGAAAUGGCUUCUGUGUGAGCAAAUGGGGCGAAGGGUAAAUAAAGCACAAAAACAUUAAAAAAAACAAAUACAUAAAAAUGAGAUUUUUUACAUGUUGAUCCCUGCAAAACAUAUUUCUCUGAUAUGAAUGCAUACUUUGUAAAUAUUGAGUUUUUUACUUUUAUUUUUUUUCCGUACAAACACUACCCCCUCUUAUUUGAUCUUAAGGACUUUCUUUAUCCUUUGUAAAAGAUUAAAAAAAAUACGACAAUUUAAUAAAUUAAUAUUUUAUUGUAACAAAAUUUAAAGAUAUAAUUUUAUUAUUAAAAUUUUAAAUUGUUCACUUUGUAAUUUCUAAAAGUUUUGAUAGAAUCAACUGCGCGCGCUAGGUAUAUAUAUAUUUUUCUUAUUUCAACUGUAAUUAUACGAAACAGAACAUUUGGCAAUUAAAAAUUUGGAAAGUUCAAUUGUAGCUUUAAUUAGAAAUAAUUUUUUUAAGAAAGCUAACUUUGCCCGUAUAACGGCAUUUAUAUGUAAAAGCAAAUUUUGUGUGGAUGCAUUUGCAAGUUCAAAAUUCUUCAGGGCCCGGCUAUAGCUGCAAAUCUAGCAAAGAGGAAAAAGAAAAAAGAAAAAAGAAAAAAAGAACAAAGAAAAAAGAAAAUUGUAGGCACUCCGGUUUCAACCCGGUGUUGAGAUGUGUCCCUGUUUGUGCUGUUUGAUUGGGUUGCGCGAGGAAAAAGUGGACCACUAAAAUAUAAAAGGCCGGGGCCCACCUUGUCGCUGGGGCCCACACCCCGCUAGCAACGGUGAUUGGUGGAUCUCAAGUUAGGCUUCAGAUUGGGUCAAACUCCUUUUGUAGACUCCAUUUGUCCUCUAGUUAGGGAAAAAAAACACAUCAGACCCCAAAGUAGUAGUUUGGUAGCCGUAACGGAGAUGCACAAAUUAUUACCUGCACCCGGUCUAUUCGUAUCUCUCACAAACCGUACCUAAUGAUUAAAAAUAAAUAAAUAUUCGAUAUAAUACAUUCAAUUCAAUGUGCCGUGCAAAAUUUAAGGAGACUAUUUGUGCAAAAUAUAAGACAUUCAAACAAACUAGAUGCUAAUAUCAUGAUCUCCAUAAUAAAUUUUUAUAAGAAGCACAAAUUUCUUACAAUUUUACGUAUUAUUAUAGAAAAAUUUCACGAUCUAUUAUAUCAUCGUACGUACUUAUCUCAUUCAUAAUAAUUAAGAUAGAAGCAGCCACGGUCUCUAAAAGAAAAAAAAGAACAUAUAAUAAAACAAAAUAAAAAGUGGUGAAAGAUAAGAAAUUGGUAAUCCGAACAAUUGGCAGAAUUCUUUCCACGCAAUUAUCAGUAGUCUGACACGUUCAAGCGACUAAGAGGGAACGGUAGAUUUCGCUCUACAAAUUAUAUUAUUCUUCUCAAUCUAAACAAUCUAUCGGAUAUCCGACAAUAAGAUUUAAUCUUUUAGCCAGUGGUGUUUUCAUUUGUGAAAUCUUGUUAGCGUACAGAGAACCUGCGCCUUCUUAUAAGUGCAGCAGGACAUAUAUGUAUACAGACGGUGCAGGGAAUAGUUAAGAAACGUGGCAGUAGUAGUAAUAACUUUUUACAAAUUAUAGCUGUUUAGAUGGAAGACUUUUUCGAAGACGAGGGUGGGUGGACUGGGAGUCAUCUGUCAAAUCGGAUACGACGUUAGAUGCAGUUCGAGUCAGUCUGUGACUUGACGUGGGCCGGGGGUGAGGAAAAAUUCUAGAAUGCAACGGAUAUAUUAGUGACGUGACGUAACAAAACAAUCAAAUUAAUUCUUUUAAGAAUAUAUGUCUCAUCAUAAUUAUAAAAAAAUAUUUUUAUUAUACUUUUGUUUAAAAAGAAUGAAUGUGAUUGAUUUAUUAUUAAUGACGUGGUGUAAGUGUGACAGUGUAGAAUUCCUCGGGGGAGAGGCCGGUUGGUUGGUUGGUGAGGGAGCGUUAGUUUCUUACGCUGUAACCGAGAAUGAAUGGGGUUGCAUUAAUUGCUUUGAGCCAUUUUGAUUGAUAUACUUAAAGAGGAAAUGAAACGAUGGCAUUAGAGACUUUUUGUCCGAAUAAUCUUAAAAAAUUUUAUAUUUUAAUAAAUAACUUUUUAAAUUUUUUUUUUGAACGAUUCACCAAAUAUUAUGAAGACGGUAAAUCGUUCGUCGCCUUUUUAAAGACAGUGAACAAUCCACUGCUUUUAAAAUAAAAUUUUACUUCCACGUUGAUUUGAUAAAAAAAAAAUUAUUUCACUAAAUAUUUUUUUGUAGGAUUAUUUAUUCAAUUAUAAUAUUUUUGAAGAUUAUUUAGAAAAAAAAGUUCUCACAUUAGAUAUAUAAUCGAAUGAAUGCUCUCUUUGAUUCUUUUUCAGGUAUUUUUCCUUUCUUUUUUGUCUUUUUCUAAAUUUUUUUGGACUCCGGAUAAAAAGAGCACGAGGAAUCUAAUCCCUACUUAUUGCGGGGUUAGUCAUUCUCAAUCUAUCUUCUCAAGUGAGACUCCUCGUGGACUUAACAUGCAUUAUUGAUUUUUUUUGUUGGAUUAUGUAAAGUAAUAUUUCGAGUCCAUAUUACGAUGAAAACGUCGAAAAUUUGAAAUAUUUGAAUAUUGAGUACUUGAACUUGAAAUUUGAGUAUCGGUAUUAUUAACUAUUUCAGCAGUUCCUCAAAAUUCAAAGGCUGAAAAAAAUAUUUUUAUACUGUGUACCAGUAUGCGACUUUGAGUAUCGGAACAGUCAGUAUGAGUACGCGAAUUGGCUUCGAAUAUUGUUUCUUUAUUUUUUUAUUGUGUAUCAGUACGCGACUUUGAGAACCGGUACACGGUUUGGUGACGAAUUGGAUAGGCCGAAUUUGACUCCAAUUGGAUCUAAUUUUGUUUUAAAAGAUUAGAGAUGGUUCGGAAUCACUUUAAAAAGAAUUCUUAAGAGGAUAUCGACGGUUACAUUUGAAUCAGAGAUUCAAAUGGAUGGUGAAGGUCGUUUCCGUCUAGAAUUAGAAUUUUAGGGUUAUAUUUAUUCUUAUAACUAACCUUUUUAGAUGUGAGCUUUAUUGUAGACACCCUAAUUAAGAAGAAGAAUGUAGAGAACUCAUGAGAGAGUUUCUUAUAAUCCAAUCUUACUCUUUUUAUUUUUGUACCGUAAAUAUAGGUCUACUAAUCGUGGGCCGAACCAUGUAAAUCUUGUGUUCUUAUAUUUUCUUGUUUAUUUUAUUACUUUGUUAUCUUCUUUCUUGUUUUCUACCAUCUUUCUUGUUCUUUUCAUCUACUAAAUAUUCUGUUUCCGCCGUACUCGUGUGCUGUGUGGAUUUGAGAUAUGCUCGGUAACUUUACUACGUACCGGUCUCUUUCAUCUUUCAGGUAAAAGAGUGCUAAUGAUAGAUUCUAACUUUAGUUCGUUUUAAAAUAGGGUAAACUUCAAAUACCGCCCAUGUGGUUUCAUACUUUCUCACUUUAGUACCUUAUGGUUUAAAAUAUACCAAUUUACUACCCUAUGAUUUCAUUUUUCUCUUUUCAUCGGCCCUCCAUUAACAUUUCGUUAAAUCAUAUACAAAAAACUUUAGAUACCCUACCUAUAAUUUAUCGAAUAUUCACUUUAAUAUCCUUUAUUUUAACUUCGUCACUGAUUUAACGAAAAAAAGUUAGUGGAGAGGACAACAAAAAGAGAAAAAUAAAAUCACAGAGUACGAAAGUGAUACACUUUAAGCCAUAGGGUACUAAAGUGAGAAAGUGCAAAAUCGCAGAGAUGAUAUUUAAAGUUUUCUCUUUAAAAUAUUCAGCAUUCGAAUUUUAUAUUCGCAAUUUAUUUGAAUAACUCUUUUAUAUAUUUUUUAUUUUGUAUGCGUCUAUGAUGUAAGUUUUUUUGAAUAAUUCUAUUCAAAAAAGCACUUGUAUUCAAAGCUCUAACCAUGCCAAACAAAGGAGCCCGCAAGGCUCCGGUGUGGCCGCUACCGCGGCUGCAAGAAAAUGUUUCAAACCACCACAGCAGUGCUGUGGGACGGGCCGGGCCGACGAGGCCCAAACUGUGACGGCCUGUUUAGCUCCAUUAAAAUGAGAUUUUGAGUGCAGAAAAUUGUAUGGGUUAACUAAAAAUUUUGAGUGCGAGGGAAUUUUUUUUUUUUUUUUUUUGAGAGAUAGAAAACACGCUACCCGCUUUGUUUAUUUUAUUUAGAAAUAAACUUAGCUGAAAAUAUGAAUCAACUAGGAUUCGAACUUGGAUCUCGGGUACCAACCACCAAGCCCUUUGCCACUUGCUCUAGGGACGGUCGGUAGUGCGAGGGAAAGUUAGAAUGAGAUUUUGAGUGCGGAAGUUUUAGUUCGAUCUUACAUUUGUAGAUGCAAUAGAAAAUUGUUGUUUUGUUAAUGUAUGCAAGUUCCUCCCCUAAUUUAUAGGGUAAACUUCAAAUACCCUUCCAUGGUUUCACACUUUCUCACUUUAGCACCAUGUGGUUUAAAGUAUAUUGAGUUAGCCCCCGUGGUUUCCACUUUCUCACUUUAGUACCAUGUGGUUUAAAGUGUAUCGAGUUAGUACCAUGUGAUUUUAAUUUUCUCUUUUUAUUAUCCAUUUUGCUAAUUUUUUCAUUAAAUCAGUGACAAAGUUAAAAUUAAUGGGUACUAAAGUGAAUAUUCGAUAAACCUAGGUAGGGUUGAAUAUUCGAUAAACCUAGGUAGAGUAUCCGAAAUUUUUUAUAUAUAAUUUAACUAAAUAUUAACGGAGGAAAAAAAAUCAGUGACAAAGUUAAAAACUAAAAGGUGCUAACGUAAAUAUUCGAUAAACCUAGGUAGGGUAUCUGAAAUUUUUUGCAUAUAAUUUAACGAAAUAUUAAUAGAUAAGCCGACAAAAAGAGAAAAAUAAAAUCAUAUGAUACUAAAUUGAUGCAAUUUAAACCACAUGGUACUAAAGUGAGAAAGUGCGUAACCACAGGGUACUAAAUUGAUACACUUUAAACCACACGGUGCUAAAGUGAAAAAGUACAUACGUAACUACAGGGAUGAUAUUUGAAGUUUUUCUGAAUUUACAUGUGUUACUGGUAAAAAUGUCUUCAAAUAAAUUUCUAUACUAUUUUUAAUACAGGAAUUGAUAUUUCAAAAACUCUUUAUAAUAUUGUCUGAGUUUUUUUAAAAAAUAAUAAUAAUAGAUUUGCUCAGGCAAUAUCAACACUAACAUUGGCAAUAUCAAUUCACCUUUGACACUGUGUGAGAUUAUUUAGGGUUAUAAAUGCUGUAUUUUUAUGGAAAGAUCAUUUAAUGCACAUCACUAAGUAAAACUUUAAUUAAAUUUGCGGCUAACUUCCCCAAGGACAAAAACACUAGCAAAUUAAUUUAAGAUAAAGAACACACAGUGACAAUAGUCACUAGCUACUAAAUGCUCCCCCCACAAAUGAGGCGGAUUUAGGUGCAGCUUAAAUACACAUAAUUGGUUAAGACACGCAAUCUAAAAUGUUGUAUGAAUUUACCCAAAUAGGGUUUAUCCCUGUUUACUCAAAAAAAAAAUGUUGUAUGAAUUUGACAACAUAUCGAUAACUUCUGGAGCUAGUAUGUUUGUGCGACUUUCCUACUCUGAUUGGAGUUUCUAUUGAAAUACUGUAAAACAUGACUAUUUGAAAAAAAAAAAAAAAAAAAAAAAAAAUUGUGGCAUUUGCUUUCGGAAUUCAAAAACUUCUAUUAGCUUUUUAUCACAGCAAAAUUUUAGUUUUCUCUUUUGUGUCUCAAAACUAUGUAUCAUUUUGAAUUGGCUAUUCAANUAGUUGUAAUUUGAAUUCCAACUAUUAAUGUUGUACGUAUUUGAAAAAGCUAUAGUAUUCUUAGUUGGAUAAAAUCGAUUUUGUAGACCAAAAUAUUUUUCUAAGAUCAAAAUACCCUUUAAAUAUAUAUCCGGUGAAUAGUAUUUAUGCCUGAAUAGUAGGUCGCCUCUAAAAUCAUAUUACAUCUCAACCAUUUAUUUAAAAAGAUAAAUGGUUAAAAUUUAUAUGGUGUAUUAAAGUAUUACUCUAAAAUUUAUAUAUACAUACGGAUCAUAUAAUCUCUUCGACAUAAAUAAUAAUAUCCAGGCUUAAAUCGGAGAGCACGGGAAUUAGCAUAAGCAACAUUUGGGAUGUCACACAAUACUCGCGUAAAAAGAAGAGAGAAAAAACGGAAAAAGUGCAAAUAUUUCCAGCGGAUUUCUUGCUGUGCGAUCCUGUGACAAAUUUCGCGACAAAAUUCAAAACACACAACAAAUNUCAUUUUGAAUUGGCUAUUCAAUCUUUCAAGAUUUUAAUUUUACUAUCAAACCUUUUAGUUUAUUUAAUUAUAGUCGGUCAACGACACUUUGACUUCAAAAUUUGUGUGCAUUAUUUAUCUGUAUAAAUUGACUUCAUAUAAUUUUUGUAACUAUAAAUUUAUUAAAGUAAGUAAUUAAAAUAUUGUGGCCUAUUCAGAGCAAAUAAAUUGAAAAGUUAAACAGUAAAAUUAAAAUUUUGAAAGAUUAGAUAGUCAAUUCAAAAUGAUUUAUAGUUUAAAUAAAUUUUACAUUUUUUUUUUACCU
RNAcentral lists this long non-coding RNA (20043 nucleotides) under Ananas comosus (pineapple). RNAcentral describes it as "long non-coding RNA (ACOM_LNC008140)". The record is from RNAcentral. Lineage: Eukaryota; Viridiplantae; Streptophyta; Magnoliopsida; Poales; Bromeliaceae.